Molecule: ribosomal RNA, 433 nt
Filed under: uncultured bacterium
Lineage: Bacteria
Description: partial 16S ribosomal RNA
Rfam family: Bacterial small subunit ribosomal RNA
Source: RNAcentral
AACGAACGCUGGCGGCAUGCCUAACACAUGCAAGUCGAACGAGACCUUCGGGCCUAGUGGCGCACGGGUGCGUAACGCGUGGGAACCUGCCCUUAGGUUCGGAAUAACUCCCCGAAAGGGGUGCUAAUACCGGAUAAUGUCUUCGGACCAAAGAUUUAUCGCCUUUGGAUGGGCCCGCGUUGGAUUAGCUAGUUGGUAGGGUAAAAGCCUACCAAGGCGACGAUCCAUAGCUGGUCUGAGAGGAUGAUCAGCCACACUGGGACUGAGACACGGACCAGACUCCUACGGAAGGGAGCAGUGGGGAAUAUUGGACAAUGGGCGAAAGCCUGAUACAGCAAUGCCGCGUGAGUGAUGAAGGCCUUAGGGUUGUAAAGCUCUUUUACACGGGAUGAUAAUGACAGUACCGGGAGAAUAAGCUCCGGCUAACUCCGUG